Non-coding RNA from Heligmosomoides polygyrus, 1574 nucleotides. The record is from Rfam. Lineage: Eukaryota; Metazoa; Nematoda; Chromadorea; Rhabditida; Heligmosomidae.
CAAUCUGAGCUCAGGCGUGAUUACCCGCCGAACUUAAGCAUAUCAUUUAGCGGAGGAAAAGAAACUAACAAGGAUUCUCUUAGUAACGGCGAGUGAACGGGGAGAAGCCCAGCGCUGAAUCUUUCGGUGUUACACCGUUAAGAAAUGUAGCGUGUAGGUGUGGUUUUGAGUUUGUGCUGAAUUUCCAAAGUCCCUUUGAUAGGGGCCACAUUCCUGAGAGGGUGCGAGACCUGUGCGGGCAGUGGAGCAAGCUGUACGAUCAUACCUUGGAGUCGGGUUGCUUGAAAGUGCAGCCUAAAGUGUGUGAUAAACUUCAUCUAAGGCUAAAUAUAGACGCGAAUUCGAUAGAAAACAAGUACUGUGAAGGAAAGUUGCAAAGAACUUUGAAGAGAGAGUUCAAGAGAACGUGAAAUCGCUGGAGUGGAACCGGAGAGAGUUGACGUUGCCGGGUAAAUGAGUCUACUAAUGUCGUUUAAUUGUGACUGCGGAAGAUGUAUGUUGCCUAUGGCUGCGCUGACAGCGCUGGCUUGCGUUAUGAACCGUUUAGCGUUGCCCACCGUUUCGGCGGUGAUGUCUUGCUGGCGGAUAGGUUUGUUGUGGCUAGCGUUUUUGCCCUACUUCAUUGUAGGGUGUCAGUGUGAAAGUCGACCACCUCUAUAGGUUUGUCGUGGCUAGCGUUUUUGCCCUACUUCAUUGUAGGGUGUCAGUGUGAAAGUCGACCACCUCUCCGACCCGUCUUGAAACACGGAUUGAGGAGUGUAACUUGUACGCGAGUCAAAGGGUGGAAACCCCCAAGGCGUAAUGAAAGUAAAGGUCGGUUAAUCGGCUGACAUGGGAUCCGUUUCGUUUACGAAGCGGCGCACCAUGGCCCUGUCUUGUCUGCUUGCAGAUGGGCAGCGGUAGAGCGUAGAGGUUGCGACCCGAAAGAUGGUAAACUCAGGAUAGCUGGAGUUCAUAGCGGUUAUAUCCGGUAAAGCGAAUGAUUAGAGGACUUGGGGUCGAAACGAUCUCAACCUAUUCUCAAACUUUCAAUGGGUAUGUUGUCUCGGUUUCUUCAUUGAACUGUUGACACGAACGCGAGCUCCAAGUGGGCCAUUUUUGGUAAGCAGAACUGGCGCUGUGGGAUGAACCAAACGUUGGGUUAAGGUGCCUAACUUUUCGCUCAUGAGACCCCAUAAAAGGCGUUGGUUGAUAUAGACAGCAGGACGGUGGCCAUGGAAGUCGGUACCCGCUAAGGAGUGUGUAACAACUCACCUGCCGAAUCAACUAGCAGGACGGUGGCCAUGGAAGUCGGUACCCGCUAAGGAGUGUGUAACAACUCACCUGCCGAAUCAACUAGCCCUGAAAAUGGAUGGCGCUUGAGCGAGAGACCUAUACCCAACCGUUGCUGGCUUGUGCGUUGUCUAGCGCCUGGCCGCAACGAGUAGGAGGGUCGUGGCGGUUGCGUCGAAGGCUUUGGGCGUAGGCCCAGCUGGAGCUUCCGUCAGUGCAGAUCUCGGUGGUAGUAGCAAAUAUUUAAGUUCGAUCCUUGAAGACUGAAGUGGAGAAGGGUUCCACGUGAACAGUAGUUGAAU